This 200-nucleotide ribosomal RNA is filed under the name uncultured bacterium. RNAcentral describes it as "partial 16S ribosomal RNA". It matches the Rfam family "Bacterial small subunit ribosomal RNA", at positions 29 to 259 of the family's 1533-position model. The record is from RNAcentral.
AACGAACGCUGGCGGCAGGCUCAACACAUGCAAGUCGAGCGCCCCGCAAGGGGGAGCGGCAGACGGGUGAGUAACGCGUGGGAAUCUACCGAGCCCUGCGGAAUAGCUCCGGGAAACUGGAAUUAAUACCGCAUACGCCCUACGGGGAAAGAUUUAUCGGGUUUGAUGAGCCCGCGUUGGAUUAGUUAGUUGGUGGGGUA